Molecule: microRNA precursor, 180 nt
Filed under: Oryza sativa Indica Group (long-grained rice)
Lineage: Eukaryota; Viridiplantae; Streptophyta; Magnoliopsida; Poales; Poaceae
Description: MIR812 microRNA precursor family
Rfam family: MIR812 microRNA precursor family
Source: Rfam by way of RNAcentral
UUUGAACUGUUCAUUUCCAUUUAUCUUAUUUGAUUUUUUUUAUGAUUAGUAUUUUUAUUGUUAUUAGAUGAUAAAACAUUAAUAGUAUUUUAUGUGUGAUUUUUUUUAAAAAAAUUCAUAAUAUUUUAAAAUAAGAUGGACGUUAAAUGUUGGACACAGAUUCUUACGGAUGCACUUAUU